CGCGGCCUAUCAGCUUGUUGGCGGGGUAACGGCCCACCAAGGCAACGACGGGUAGCUGGUUUGAGAGAACGAUCAGCCACACUGGAACUGAGACACGGUCCAGACUUCUACGGGAGGCAGCAGUAGGGAAUCUUGCGCAAUGGGCGAAAGCCUGACGCAGCGACGCCGCGUGCGGGAUGACGGCCCUAGUGGUUGUAAACCGCUUUCAGCAGGGACGAAAAUGACGGUACCUGCAGAAGAAGUCCCGGCUAACUACGUGCCAGCAGCCGCGGUAAUACGUAGGGGACAAGCGUUGUCCGGAUUCAUUGGGCGUAAAGAGCUCGUAGGCGGUUCAGUAAGUUGGGUGUGAAAGCUCCGGGCUCAACCCGGAGAGGCCACUCAAUACUGCUGUGACUAGAGUCCAGUAGAGGAGCGUGGAACUCCUGGUGUAGCGGUGAAAUGCGCAGAUAUCAGGAAGAACACCGGCAGCGAAGGCGGCGCUCUGGGCUGGUACUGACGCUGAGGAGCGAAAGCAUGGGUAGCAAACAGGAUUAGAUACCCUGGUAGUCCAUGCCGUAGACGUUGGGCACUAGGUGUGGGGAGGAGUCAACCCUUUCCGUGCCGUGGCAAACGCAUUAAGUGCCCCGCCUGGGGAGUACGG
This 640-nucleotide ribosomal RNA is filed under the name uncultured Aciditerrimonas sp. RNAcentral describes it as "bacterial SSU rRNA". It matches the Rfam family "Bacterial small subunit ribosomal RNA", at positions 232 to 885 of the family's 1533-position model. The record is from RNAcentral. Lineage: Bacteria; Bacillati; Actinomycetota; Acidimicrobiia; Acidimicrobiales; Acidimicrobiaceae.